AGGGGCAUCAGGGAAGUAGCUUGCUACUUUUGCUGGCGACCGGCGCACGGGUGCGUAACGCGUAUGCAACCUACCUUUAACAGGGGGAUAAUCCGAAGAAAUUUGGUCUAAUACCCCAUAAUAUUGAAUAAGGCAUCUUAGUCAGUUGAAAGUUCCGACGGUUAAAGAUGGGCAUGCGUUGUAUUAGCUAGUUGGUGAGGUAACGGCUCACCAAGGCUACGAUACAUAGGGGGACUGAGAGGUUUUCCCCCCACACUGGUACUGAGACACGGACCAGACUCCUACGGGAGGCAGCAGUGAGGAAUAUUGGUCAAUGGACGCAAGUCUGAACCAGCCAUGCCGCGUGCAGGAUGAAUGUGCUAUGCAUUGUAAACUGCUUUUGUACGAGGGUAAAAACAGGUACGUGUACCUGGUUGAAAGUAUCGUACGAAUAAGGGUCGGCUAACUACGUGCCAGCG
This 458-nucleotide ribosomal RNA is filed under the name Alistipes sp. RNAcentral describes it as "bacterial SSU rRNA". It matches the Rfam family "Bacterial small subunit ribosomal RNA", at positions 65 to 513 of the family's 1533-position model. The record is from RNAcentral. Lineage: Bacteria; Pseudomonadati; Bacteroidota; Bacteroidia; Bacteroidales; Rikenellaceae.